This 253-nucleotide ribosomal RNA is filed under the name uncultured bacterium. RNAcentral's name for it is "partial 16S ribosomal RNA". It matches the Rfam family "Bacterial small subunit ribosomal RNA", at positions 524 to 776 of the family's 1533-position model. The record is from RNAcentral.
UACAGAGGCCUCGAGCGUUAGGCGGAAUCACUGGGCUUAAAGCGUGUGUAGGUGGAGUUCUACGUCCCUUGUGAAAUCCCACGGCUCAACCGUGGAACUGCUGGGUAUACUGGUUCUCUUGAGGUACCUAGGGGCGAGCGGAACAAGUGGUGGAGCGGUGAAAUGCGUAGAUAUCACUUGGAACGCCAACGGUGAAAACAGCUCGCUGGGGGUAUCCUGACACUGAGACACGAAAGCCAGGGGAGCAAACGGG